Molecule: long non-coding RNA, 6210 nt
Organism: Panthera uncia (snow leopard)
Lineage: Eukaryota; Metazoa; Chordata; Mammalia; Carnivora; Felidae
Exons: 2
Source: RefSeq, a predicted model, not a curated record
ACCCCGCGCACGGCACGUGGCCCGCGGUGGGGUCGCCCCGCUAGCGCUCGGCCGGGCCCGGCUCGCUGGGCGGCCGCGGGUGAGACGUCGGCCUUCCCAGAGGCCCCCCCUCCCCCCCCCCCCCCCCGCCCCUCCCGGCUCGUCGCCAGAGAGGGGGGAGGUGGCGCCCUCCCGCGAUGGGAUCCGGAACUUAAAAUCCGGAAACCACCAGGCCACGCCUGACCUAACCUCGCAGGGUGGCCCUGAGCGCGGGGCUGGGCCUCACAGGCCUCCAUAUUCCAGACCCGGUUUAGCUCGGGCCCCCUCCAGGCCUGUGAACGUGCUGUUCCCUCUCUCCGGGACACUAUCCCCAGCUGCCUCAGGGCCAGCCCUGGCUUACUGUUUGGCUGUCAGGUCAGCUGUUCCCUGCUCAAGUCCUGCCCUGCUCCCCGUCUCCAGGCUGACCCUGUGUCUUCGUAGCACGUCACUUGGAGCCGAAGUCAUCCCGUGUGUUGUAUCGGGGAUGGUCUGCCCCCAGCCCCACCGCAUCCCAGUGGGCUGUGGACUCCCUGGGGGCAGGACUCUGCUCUGAAGUCCCCUGCAUGCCCGGAGCCUAGCACAGAGCCUGGCAUACAGUAGGUGCUCAAUACUUGUUGAAUGAGUGAAUUUAACAGUAUCUCCUCUGUGUAGGCCCACGAUGGUCCCUGGGGGGCUCUCUGGCCCUAGCCUUCUGGAAUGGUCUUGGACCCGGAUGUGAGCUCCUGAUAAUCUGACUUGGUCAGGCUGCCAGGUGAUGUGUUCCUGCAGCAUGGUUCUGGCCAGGCGGAGAACUGGGCCUUCCAGGCAGAAGGAACUGGGCAGAGCCUGGAGGGUUUAAUCCCAGGUUAAGCGUGGAGUUUACCUGGCAGGUCUCCUUCGGAUCAGAGGGCAGGUGAUGGACUGUUCCCUGUUGUUGCCCGGCCCGGUCUACCUACAAUAAGGUAACUUCUUUGAUGCUAUGUGAAUGCCCUGAUCCCCAACAAAUUUUGAUCCAGCGGUUUUUAGCAUGUGCGGAUGCUGCUUGCCUGAAUCAAUUACCACUGAGGAGGUGGUUUAACUGGUUUACAAGGUGCUUUGGGUUGGGGGAAGACCUUCAUCCUAAUCCUUCCUCAAGGUCCUUCCAUGAGCCAAAGAACAGAAACUCCCCCCAAGCCUGUUUGCCAUCUGGGCACGCCCUGCCAGCUGGGAAUCCCCUCCUCUAGUCAGGGGUUUGAUCCUUGGGAGAGACUGAGAGGAUGGAAAAACCGUUAGUUUCAUUUGCUAGAAGAGGAAGCUGAGGCCCAGGGAGAGGAGAGACGUGGCCUAAGUGGAAUAGCUCCUCCCGAGGAGUCUCUGGGCUCCAUGGACGAGGCUGGGCGUUUGGGAAGGAGACUUUCGGGCAGAAUAACGGGCAGGGUUUCUGGGUCCAGAUUGGGGCUCUCUGACCCCUGACAGCCCCCCUCCCCAGUCCCUGUUAUCUGUGUAAGAUCUGGGUUGCCAGAUUUCGCAGAUAAAAAUAUAGGGUGCCCGGUUAAAUUUGAAUUUUAGUUGAACAGUGAACUUUUUUUUAGUAGUUAAGUAUGUCCCAGUUGCUGCACCAAAAAUUACACUAAAACCUCAUGAUGUCUAGGAUGUUUGGACUGACACUCGGGUUGCCAAGUAAGAUACAGGACAUCCAGUUCAAUUUUAAUUUCAGGGUACCGAUGAAUAAUUUUUAAACUCAGAUGUAGGGAAUAAAAGCAUGUGUGGCAGGUGUUAUCAGAUGCAAGAAAUGAGGCAGGUGACAUUGGUGGGCCUUGAAUGCUGGGAUGAGCUGCGCUUCUGUCAGAGUAGAUGACAGCCCUGGAAGAAGGGACUUGAGCUUGGAAGGCCCUUGCCAGAUAGUUCUAGAAAGCUCCCUCUGGGGGCAUCUGGCUGGCUCAGGUGGUAGAGCAUGCAACUGUCGAUCUCGGGUCGUGAGUCCAAGCCCUAAAGAGAAAGCUUCCUCUGGCUGUGGGAGGCGGGGAGUGUGGGCAGAGGUGAGCAAGACUGAAGGUCAAGGACCAAUCAGGGGGCAGCUGCAGUGACCAGUGACAUGCCAUAAGGUUCAGACGAAUGCUCAGGGGAUGUAAAGAGCGUUCAGGGGGCAGGACCUAUGGGGCCUGAGGCCCACCAGCUCAGGAAGGUGGGCAGGAGGCCUCUGGCCUGGCAUGAGCGGGGUAAGUUUAAGGGGCUGUGGGAGAGGGGGCGGGGAAGGCCUGAGAGUCAAUGGGGUCCGGCAUCUGGAGUUCAGAAGGGGCCAGGCCCGAGGAGAGAAUGGCUCCGGGGCGGGGAAAGAGGGACACAGGGCUACGGUGGGGCAGGGGGCUGUGCAGCGGGGACCUGGGAGGCAUUUCUGCCCAAAUUACCUCCUGCCGUAGGAGGAACUAGGGGAACACAGUAGCAGCAGCUGCAGGGCUGGGGUGGCUGCCUAGCCAGAGGCCGAAGCAUUAAUGGUGGAAUCCAGCCGCCUGCUCCGUGUGUGAAAGUGCUGGGACAGGGAGGGUGUGCUGGGACAGGAGGUUAGCCCCAGGGUCACCAGACCUGUUCUGCCGAGGCCUCUUUGGAAGCCAAGCAGCCUGCUCUGGCACAGUCUUCGUGUGGGCACCUGGGAGGCUGAAGAAACAGGAAUCGGGGCGGUGUCUAUUCUAUGUGGCACCCUCAUCAGUUCUCCUCGGAAGUACUCGAAGCCCAGUCCCAGCCGAGCUCGGGAGCCAGUCAUUUCUUACCCAGGGUAUCGUGUGCCCAGCUCACGGAAGAGAGGCGUGGCUCAGAGAGGGAAGAACCUUGCCCGAGGCCACAUGUCACAACAGCUGAUGGGGGUUUGGGUUGGAGUUUGAACCCGGGUCUAUUUGCUUCUGAAACUCAGCUCUCCCCAUGGCCGCCUGACCCUGGAAUUAGGCAUCUGUUUUCCCUCUUCCCUGUUGGCCUGGGCUGCCUUACAGCGAAUGGCAGGGACUGACUCCGGGGUGGGGAGCUCCGGGUCACUCCCCAUAAAAUACUGCCUUCUCUAGACCAGAAAUUUUCUUUCCUUUUUUGUUUUUAAAGUGUAUUUAUUUUGAGAGAGAGAAAGAGCACACGCAGAGAGGGGCAGAGAGAGAGGGAGAGAGAGAGUGAAUCCCAAGCAGGCUCUGCACAGUGUGGAACCUGACAUGGGGCUCGAACUCAUGAACUAUGAGAUCACGACCUGAGCCGAAACCAAGAGCCGGAUGCUUAACCGACUGAGCCACCCAGGCGCCCCUAGACCAGAAAUUUUCAAAAUCUUGGCUCUUGCCAUGUGGCCUUGGGCAAAUCACUCCCCUCUCUAGGCCUGUUUUCUUGCCUACAAAAUAGACGACCAUCUAGAAUCUAGAGAGAACCUCGCCAGAACGCAGGUCGCAAAGUGCUGGCCGAAGGGUGGCAUCCAGCCCACGGGAGAAUCUGUUCUGGGUUUUGGCUUCAUUUGAAUUAAUUGCCAACUUAGGAUUUCUGGCUUCUUAUGAUAAAUCCGAGGCUCUUGCCGUAUCAGCUUCCAGCCUGGGGGCCCUUCAGGUUCUGAUGAGGCUGAGGUUCAGGUCCUCCCGAGGUGCUCUGACAGUGUGUAAUUCUCAUGCACUCUGCUCCCUGGAAAGCAGGAGUCGAGGGUUCUAGGCUUGGCUCUGCCCAAACCAGCCGUCUAGGGCCAGUGACCACUCCUCUCCGGGACACGUCCACAAACAGGGGUGAUCCGCAUAUCUCAGAAGGCUAUGUUGAGGGUUAACUGAGAUGCCACGUGUAAACUGCUUCCCAAAUCUGGGUCUGUGGGCAGGUGGAAAUGAGAGCUGGAAGCGUGAUUACCUGAGUGUCUCUGGCAUGCUGAGAGCAGGCUGGGGACUGAGAGAUGAAUGUGGCUCAGUCCCCAGGGACACACAUAAGCAGCAAGCUGAAAACAGUGGGGAGGAAGGGGGGGGAGGUCAAGGCCUUUCACUUGCGGGUGAAAUCAAGGGAGGCCUCACAAAAGAGGUGACAUUUGGGCUGCCACCACCAGAUUCAUGUAUUCAUUCCUCAUAUCUUUACCAAGCACCUACUAUGUUCUAGGUAUCAUUCUAGGUGCUGGGGGUCCAGCAGUGAGCAAGACAAAAAUGCCUUUGAAGAGCUGGCGUUCUCAUGGGGGAAAACAGAAUAAAGCAGAAACAAUUAAAAAAAAAAAAAAAGACAUGUAAUGUCUGGUGGAAAAGGAAAGGCAGAGCAGGGCCAGAAGGAGACGGGGGUAGCAAUUUUAUGUAGGGGCCAGAGAGGCCUUCCUGGGGUGAUGACAUUGAAGCAGAGACCCGAAGGAAGUCAGCAAGCAAGCCCUGUGGAUAACUGGGGAAAGAGCAUUCCAGGCAGUGAGAACAGCAAGUGCAAAGGCCCUGAGGCAGGAGUAUGCAUGGCUUCUUUAAGAAGCAGCAAUCAUGUCGGUUUAUUCCAUUUCUGUGAGGCUAGCUUUGACCACUUGGCUCAGCCGACGGCCAGGCUUUACCCUGUAAAGCCGUAUUGCAUUUAAGAAGUCAUCUAUGGGAUGAUCCUUUGAGACUGUGAUUACAUGAUUUGACUUAAUCCUCAUAAGCAGCCCUUUGGCAGUCUUAAAAUAUGUCUGUAAAUUCUUUGACAUUCCACCCUUUGAGAGAUUGGGGGUUUGGGUCCCCUCCCCUUGAAUCUGGGUUCUGCGACUUCUUGACCAAUAGAACAUGGCAGAAGUAAAUACAAAUCAAAACCACAAUGAAGUACCACCUCACACCCGUCAGAAUGGCUAACAUUCACAACUCGGGCAACAACAGAUGUUGGCGAGGAUGCGGAGAAAGAGGAUCUCUUUUGCGUUGUUGGUGGGAAUGCAAGCUGGUGCAGCCACUCUGGAGAACAGUAUGGAGGUUCCUCAAAAAACUAACAAUAGAACUACCCUACGACCCAGCAAUUGCACGACUAGGUAUUUAUCCAAGGGAUACGGGUGUGCUGUUUCGAAGGGACACAUGCACCCCCAUGUCUAUAGCCGCACUAUCAACAAUAGCCAAAGGAUGGAAAGAGCCCAAUGUCGAUCGAUGGAUGAAUGGAGAAAGAAGAUGUGGUCUAUAUACACAAUGGAGUAUUACUCGGCAAUCAAAAAGAAUGAAAUCUUGCCAUUUGCAACUACGUGGAUGGAACUGGAGGGUAUUAUGCUAAGUGAAAUUAGUCAGAGAAAGACAAAAAUCAUAUGACUUCACUCCUAUGAGGACUUCAAGAGACAGAACAGAUGAACAUAAGGGAAGGGAAACAAAAAUAAUAUAAAAACAGGGAGGGGGACAAAGCAGAAGAGACUCAUAAAUGUGGAGAACAAACUGAGGGUUCCUGGAGGAGUUGUGGGAGGGGGGAAGGGCUCAAUGGGGAAGGGGCACUAAGGAAUCUACUCCUGAAAUCACUGUUGCACUAGAUGCUAACUAAUUUGGAUGCAAAUUAAAAAAUUUUAAAUUUUAAAAUUUAAAACUUAACAUAAAAAAAAAAAAGAAUAUGGCAAAAGUGACACUCUACCAUUGGCAGGGGUGGGAGGGGCAGCCCAUAGGAAAUGGGUGGCCUCCACGUCCCGUCUCCUGAGAUGCUUGCUCUUGAAACCCGGCCACCAUGUUGUGAGGAAGUCCUAGCAGCCCAUAGAGAAGCCCCCGUGGAGAGGAGCCCAGGCCUCGGACCCUCCGCUCACCUGACCUCCCAGUCAACAGCCAGCACCAACUUGCCAGCCAUGUGAGCACGCCAUCUUGGAAGCAGGUCCUCCAGCCCCCGUUGGGCCACCUCAGCCGGCGCCCUGAGGAGCAGAGCUGAGCCACCCCCUGCAAACCCUGCUCUAAUUUCACACAGAUGAGAGAAUAAGAAGACCGUUGCUGUCUCACACCACUAAGUUUUAGAGUGGUUGGUCACGCAAUAAUAGUUAACUGGAACAAACCUCACGAAGACAGUCUCCCCAUUUUAUAGAUGAGAAACUGAGGCGCAGAGGAUUGAACUAGUUCACCCAACGUCUCAUAGCCACUUAGUGGGAGAACUGGCCUUCGAAAUCAGCCUCUUUAUGUUGUAUUUUGAUGACCAGAAGUUCUGAAUCUUAAUGAAGUCCAAUUUGGCGAUCUUUUCCUACGGUAAAUCUGUUUUGUGCGGAUAGGCAGUUUCGAAACUUUUUUUUCAUGUAUGACUACAUAAUCUCUGUGGACAUUAAACACAUAAUGGUGCUUAUUUUUU